RNAcentral lists this long non-coding RNA (1345 nucleotides) under Homo sapiens (human). RNAcentral's name for it is "HSALNT0404343". The record is from RNAcentral. Lineage: Eukaryota; Metazoa; Chordata; Mammalia; Primates; Hominidae.
GAUGAAUAGACGCUGCGGGUCACUGCGCUCUCCCCUGGGUAGAACAGAUGGUUUGAAAAGGAAAGAUUUUUUUUUCACAUAUGGGGAAAAAAAAUUCCCAGCCUUGGAAGGAUAUUUGGGUUAGAGGCCGAAGUGCAUCACAGAUCACGCACGCGUCCACACCUCAGAAAACACUCACUCAUUCCUGAGACGCAACGUCUCCGGCACACAGCUCCGCAGCUGGGGGUGACUAAGAGCCCACACCACGCAAGUAAUAAAACGCUCCAAUUUCAUUUAUUUAAUCAUCUGUGUGCUUCAUUUGACAAAUAUUUAUGGAGUGUCUGCUGCUAGCUCAGUGCCUGGUGCCUGGGACUGAAGACCAGAGCCCCCUGGAGACCAAAAGAGCCAGCUCCCAGCUGUGAGCAGAUCGGGUCCAAAGAUCACGGGCUCGGCGGCAGGAACCUGGUUUGGUAUCCGGCUCCUCUGCGGACUUUGAAGUGCUUUACCGAUUCACAUGACAACUGGUAAAACGAAAACAAACACCUUUCCAGGAAUUGUGAAUUCGAGUUCCAGACCCUCUGGGAUUCCGGGAGCGCAGCUGCUAUUUAUGUUAACAGUCAUUGGUCCCAGGCUGGUGAGGUUAGAAUUUCCAAGUAUAAAAGUAAUUUAGUUUCGUUUUAAAUACAUUUUAGGGCCAAAGAAAAGUGGAACGAUUUAAAGAAAAAGAUGAAAUGAAUAAUAGGGCAAGUUGGGAGGUGGCUGUCCUGAGGUUUCAUGGGACAACAUUAAUUAACCUCAUGAAGUGCCUGCAUGGACAACGUGCCCGGUGUGGUUACAAACAAACCAAUCAGCACAGAUCCUGGGUGGAAAGCAGGGCGCAGCCACGGAGGCACAGUAGGGGUGCAGACUUGAAGGUUUUUAGGAGGUAAGCCCCGAGGGCACGAAGCUCCACGGAGAGACUGUUGACCCGCCUGGGAGUGCAGUGCAGUCACAGCAACCUCCAAAAACCCAACUUUGCAAAGAUAUGGCAUCGUCAGAAGAAAUGGGGUGCAAUCUAAUGUUGACAGUGUGGAUGAGAGUGGGACACCUGCCAGUUGUUUGCAUCAGCAGACACUCAGAGUCCAUGGAAAAAAUGAGCCUAGAGGUUUUUAAACCACAACACAAGCAAAAGGCACCUGGUCCCGUUCCUCUUAAGACAGAAGAAAGAGGCGUAAAACCAGCUCCAGGUGCCACCCUUAAGAAAUGUUACAGUGCCGGAUGGGAAGAGUAAACCCUGAACAUCUCUUCUUAAUACUUUACAGACUUCAAGUGUAUUUUAUGGUGACAAAGCAUAUUGAAGACAAAUGAAACUCUACAACCCUGAAAA